AUUCUAAUAGUUUAAUUAAAAUAUUGGUUUGUGGAACCUAAGAUGUAGUUUUUACUUAGGAUA
RNAcentral lists this transfer RNA (63 nucleotides) under Coleoptera sp. 30 KM-2017. RNAcentral describes it as "tRNA-His". It matches the Rfam family "tRNA". From Rfam's summary of the family: Transfer RNA (tRNA) molecules are approximately 80 nucleotides in length. Their secondary structure includes four short double-helical elements and three loops (D, anti-codon, and T loops). The record is from RNAcentral. Lineage: Eukaryota; Metazoa; Arthropoda; Insecta; Coleoptera.